AGAGUUUGAUCCUGGCUCAGGAUGAACGCUGGCGGCGUGCUUAACACAUGCAAGUCGAACGAAGCGCUUUAACCUGAUUCUUCGGAUGAAGGUUUUUGUGACUGAGUGGCGGACGGGUGAGUAACGCGUGGGUAACCUGCCUCGUACAGGGGGAUAACAGUUAGAAAUGACUGCUAAUACCGCAUAAGACCACGGAGCCGCAUGGCUCAGUGGGAAAAACUCCGGUGGUAUGAGAUGGACCCGCGUCUGAUUAGGUAGUUGGUGGGGUAACGGCCUACCAAGCCGACGAUCAGCAGCCGACCUGAGAGGGUGACCGGCCACAUUGGGACUGAGACACGGCCCAAACUCCUACGGGAGGCAGCAGUGGGGAAUAUUGCACAAUGAGGGAAACCCUGAUGCAGCGACGCCGCGUGAGCGAAGAAGUAUUUCGGUAUGUAAAGCUCUAUCAGCAGGGAAGAAAAUGACGGUACCUGACUAAGAAGCACCGGCUAAAUACGUGCCAGCAGCCGCGGUAAUACGUAUGGUGCAAGCGCUAUCCGGAUUUACUGGGUGUAAAGGGAGCGUAGACGGCUGUGUAAGUCUGAAGUGAAAGCCCGGGGCUCAACCCCGGGACUGCUUUGGAAACUAUGCAGCUAGAGUGUCGGAGAGGUAAGUGGAAUUCCCAGUGUAGCGGUGAAAUGCGUAGAUAUUGGGAGGAACACCAGUGGCGAAGGCGGCUUACUGGACGAUGACUGACGUUGAGGCUCGAAAGCGUGGGGAGCAAACAGGAUUAGAUACCCUGGUAGUCCACGCCGUAAACGAUGACUACUAGGUGUCGGGGAGCAAAGCUCCUCGGUGCCGCAGCAAACGCAAUAAGUAGUCCACCUGGGGAGUACGUUCGCAAGAAUGAAACUCAAAGGAAUUGACGGGGACCCGCACAAGCGGUGGAGCAUGUGGUUUAAUUCGAAGCAACGCGAAGAACCUUACCUGCUCUUGACAUCCCGGUGACCGGCAUGUAAUGAUGCCUUUUCUUCGGAACACCGGUGACAGGUGGUGCAUGGUUGUCGUCAGCUCGUGUCGUGAGAUGUUGGGUUAAGUCCCGCAACGAGCGCAACCCUUAUCUUCAGUAGCCAGCAAUUCGGAUGGGCACUCUGGAGAGACUGCCAGGGAUAACCUGGAGGAAGGUGGGGAUGACGUCAAAUCAUCAUGCCCCUUAUGAGCAGGGCUACACACGUGCUACAAUGGCGUAAACAAAGGGAAGCGAGCCUGCGAGGGUAAGCAAAUCUCAAAAAUAACGUCUCAGUUCGGAUUGUAGUCUGCAACUCGACUACAUGAAGCUGGAAUCGCUAGUAAUCGCGAAUCAGCAUGUCGCGGUGAAUACGUUCCCGGGUCUUGUACACACCGCCCGUCACACCAUGGGAGUUGGUAACGCCCGAAGUCAGUGACCCAACCGAAAGGAGGGAGCUGCCGAAGGUGGGACCGAUAACUGGGGUGAAGUCGUAACAAGGUA
Molecule: ribosomal RNA, 1489 nt
Filed under: metagenome
Description: bacterial SSU rRNA
Rfam family: Bacterial small subunit ribosomal RNA
Source: RNAcentral